RNAcentral lists this ribosomal RNA (1047 nucleotides) under Plectolyngbya hodgsonii ANT.LPR2.3. RNAcentral's name for it is "bacterial SSU rRNA". It matches the Rfam family "Bacterial small subunit ribosomal RNA", at positions 386 to 1447 of the family's 1533-position model. The record is from RNAcentral. Lineage: Bacteria; Bacillati; Cyanobacteriota; Cyanophyceae; Leptolyngbyales; Leptolyngbyaceae.
ACGGAGCAAUACCGCGUGAGGGAGGAAGGCUCUUGGGUUGUAAACCUCUUUUAUCAGGGAAGAAAGAAUGACGGUACCUGAUGAAUCAGCAUCGGCUAACUCCGUGCCAGCAGCCGCGGUAAUACGGGGGAUGCAAGCGUUAUCCGGAAUUAUUGGGCGUAAAGCGUCCGUAGGUGGCUUAUCAAGUCUGCUGUUAAAGAAUGCGGCUCAACCGCAUAUGGGCAGUGGAAACUGAUGAGCUAGAGUGCGAUAGGGGUUACAGGAAUUCCCAGUGUAGCGGUGAAAUGCGUAGAUAUUGGGAAGAACACCAGCGGCGAAAGCGUGUGACUGGGUCUGCACUGACACUGAGGGACGAAAGCUAGGGGAGCGAAAGGGAUUAGAUACCCCUGUAGUCCUAGCCGUAAACGAUGACAACUAGGUGUGGUUCGUAUCGACCCGAGCCGUGCCGUAGCCAACGCGUUAAGUUGUCCGCCUGGGGAGUACGCACGCAAGUGUGAAACUCAAAGGAAUUGACGGGGGCCCGCACAAGCGGUGGAGUAUGUGGUUUAAUUCGAUGCAACGCGAAGAACCUUACCAAGGCUUGACAUCCUGCGAAUCUCCUUGAAAGGGGAGAGUGCCUUCGGGAGCGCAGAGACAGGUGGUGCAUGGCUGUCGUCAGCUCGUGUCGUGAGAUGUUGGGUUAAGUCCCGCAACGAGCGCAACCCACGUUUUUAGUUGCCAUCAUUCAGUUGGGCACUCUAGAGAGACUGCCGGUGACAAACCGGAGGAAGGUGUGGAUGACGUCAAGUCAGCAUGCCCCAUACGCCUUGGGCUACACACGUACUACAAUGCGUUGGACAGAGGGUCGCAAGCGUGCGAGCGCAAGCCAAUCUCGUAAACCAACGCUCAGUUCAGAUUGCAGGCUGCAACUCGCCUGCAUGAAGGCGGAAUCGCUAGUAAUCGCAGGUCAGCAUACUGCGGUGAAUGCGUUCCCGGGCCUUGUACACACCGCCCGUCACACCAUGGGAGUUGGUCAUGCCCGAAGUCGUUACUCUAACCGUUCGCGGA